This 279-nucleotide ribosomal RNA is filed under the name uncultured bacterium. RNAcentral's name for it is "partial 16S ribosomal RNA". It matches the Rfam family "Bacterial small subunit ribosomal RNA", at positions 506 to 784 of the family's 1533-position model. The record is from RNAcentral.
UGCCAGCCGCCGCGGUAAUACGGAGGGUGCAAGCGUUAAUCGGAAUUACUGGGCGUAAAGCGCAUGCAGGUGGUUUGUUAAGUCGGAUGUGAAAGCCCCGGGCUCAACCUGGGAACUGCAUUCGAUACUGGCAGACUAGAGUGCGGGAGAGGGAGGUAGAAUUCCAUGUGUAGCGGUGAAAUGCGUAGAUAUUAUGAAGAAUACCAGUGGCGAAGGCGGCCUCCUGGAUCUGUACUGACACUGAGGUGCGAAAGCGUGGGUAGCGAACAGGAUUAGAUA